This 687-nucleotide unclassified non-coding RNA is filed under the name uncultured Prochlorococcus sp. Its description in RNAcentral is "partial may contain 16S ribosomal RNA, 16S-23S ribosomal RNA intergenic spacer, and 23S ribosomal RNA". The stretch from base 1 to 97 matches the Rfam family "Bacterial small subunit ribosomal RNA", at positions 1437 to 1533 of the family's 1533-position model. Lineage: Bacteria; Bacillati; Cyanobacteriota; Cyanophyceae; Synechococcales; Prochlorococcaceae. The record is from RNAcentral.
ACCCUUGUGGAGGAGGACGCCGAAGGUGGGGCUAAUGACUGGGGUGAAGUCGUAACAAGGUAGCCGUACCGGAAGGUGCGGCUGGAUCACCUCCUAACAGGGAGACAACAAAAUGUUUAAUAUUAUUAUUUUGUCACCUUAGGUCGAUCGGUAUCUCACAUUCUUAAUUUAUUAAGAAUUUCAUUUCCUAAGUUUUUCUAGGUCACACCCAUUAUUUUUCCUGGGCCAUUAGCUCAGGUGGUUAGAGCGCACCCCUGAUAAGGGUGAGGUCCCUGGUUCAAGUCCAGGAUGGCCCAUAUCUCUAUGUUGGGGGUAUAGCUCAGUUGGUAGAGCGCCUGCUUUGCAAGCAGGAUGUCAGCGGUUCGAGUCCGCUUACCUCCACUGAUUACCACCUCUUCCAUAAUUCUGUAGAAAGGAAAUUUUUUGAGUUGUGAUCAUAUUCUGAACGAAUCUAGCUUCCUAAUGAAAUCAUUAAGAUGCUGGACUCAUUGAAUUAAUUUCAUUGAUUUCAGAGAACCUUGACAACUGCAUAGAUUAUUUUUAAAGACAAUAAGCAUCUUUUAUGAUGCAGAUUUAUUAUUUGUGCGAAUGCAUUAAAUAACAAUUCUAUUAAGCUGAUGCUUCAAUUUUGAAGUUAUUGGUCAAGCUACAAAGGGCUCACGGAGGAUACCUAGGCACACAGAGGCG